Molecule: ribosomal RNA, 270 nt
Filed under: uncultured bacterium
Lineage: Bacteria
Description: partial 16S ribosomal RNA
Rfam family: Bacterial small subunit ribosomal RNA
Source: RNAcentral
UACGUAGGGUGCGAGCGUUAAUCGGAAUUACUGGGCGUAAAGCGUGCGCAGGCGGUUUGGUAAGACAGGCGUGAAAUCCCCGGGCUUAACCUGGGAACUGCGUUUGUGACUGCACGGCUAGAGUAUGGCAGAGGGGGGUGGAAUUCCACGUGUAGCAGUGAAAUGCGUAGAGAUGUGGAGGAACACCGAUGGCGAAGGCAGCCCCUGGGCCAAUACUGACGCUCAUGCACGAAAGCGUGGGGAGCAAACAGGAUUAGAUACCCUUGUAGU